RNAcentral lists this ribosomal RNA (789 nucleotides) under Methanoculleus sp. enrichment culture clone HA_1. RNAcentral's name for it is "bacterial SSU rRNA". It matches the Rfam family "Archaeal small subunit ribosomal RNA", at positions 85 to 879 of the family's 1478-position model. RNAcentral also lists the same sequence under 7 other names. Lineage: Archaea; Methanobacteriati; Methanobacteriota; Methanomicrobia; Methanomicrobiales; Methanomicrobiaceae. The record is from RNAcentral.
ACUGCUCAGUAACACGUGGAUAACCUGCCCUAAGGAAGGGGAUAACCUCGGGAAACUGAGGAUAAUACCCUAUAGGUUACAGACGCUGGAAUGCCCUGUAACCGAAAGCUCCGGCGCCUUAGGAUGGAUCUGCGGCCGAUUAGGUUGUUGUUGGGGUAACGGCCCAACAAGCCGAUAAUCGGUACGGGUUGUGGGAGCAAGAGCCCGGAGUUGGAUUCUGAGACACGAAUCCAGGCCCUACGGGGCGCAGCAGGCGCGAAAACUUUACAAUGCGGGAAACCGUGAUAAGGGAACCCCGAGUGCCUGUAUAUGCAGGCUGUCCAGGUGUCUAAAAAACACCUGAAGAAAGGGCCGGGCAAGACCGGUGCCAGCCGCCGCGGUAAUACCGGCGGCUCGAGUGGUGGCCACUUUUAUUGGGCUUAAAGCGUUCGUAGCUGGGUUGUUAAGUCUCUUGGGAAAUCUGACGGCUUAACCGUCAGGCGUCUAAGAGAUACUGGCAAUCUUGGAACCGGGAGAGGUGAGGGGUACUUCGGGGGUAGGAGUGAAAUCCUGUAAUCCUCGAGGGACCACCUGUGGCGAAGGCGCCUCACCAGAACGGCUUCGACAGUGAGGGACGAAAGCUGGGGGAGCAAACCGGAUUAGAUACCCGGGUAGUCCCAGCCGUAAACGAUGCGCGUUAGGUGUAUCGGUGACCACGAGUCACCGAGGUGCCGAAGGGAAACUGUGAAACGUGCCGCCUGGGAAGUACGGUCGCAAGGCUGAAACUUAAAGGAAUUGGCGGGGGAGCAC